RNAcentral lists this ribosomal RNA (408 nucleotides) under uncultured bacterium. RNAcentral describes it as "partial 16S ribosomal RNA". It matches the Rfam family "Bacterial small subunit ribosomal RNA", at positions 28 to 526 of the family's 1533-position model. The record is from RNAcentral.
GACGAACGCUGGCGGCGUGCUUAACACAUGCAAGUCGAACGGAGUGGCGAACGGGUGAGUAACACGUGGGUGAUCUGCCCUGCACUUCGGGAUAAGCUUGGGAAACUGGGUCUAAUACCGGAUAGUGCAAGAUGAGCUCGCGGCCUAUCAGCUUGUUGGUGGGGUAAUGGCCUACCAAGGCGUCGCCGGGUAGCCGGCCUGCGAGGGUGUACGGGCACAUUGGGACUGAUAUACGGCCCAGAGUCGUACGGGGGGCAGAAGUGGGGAAUAUUGCACAAGGGGCGGAAGCAUGAUGCAGCGACGCCGCGUGGGGGAUGAAGGCCUUCGGGUUGUGAACUCCUUUCGACAGGGACGCGGUACCUGUAUAAGAAGCACCGGCUAACUACGUGCCAGCAGCCGCGGUAAUUC